Molecule: ribosomal RNA, 839 nt
Filed under: Septoria sp.
Lineage: Eukaryota; Fungi; Ascomycota; Dothideomycetes; Mycosphaerellales; Mycosphaerellaceae
Description: partial large subunit ribosomal RNA
Rfam family: Eukaryotic large subunit ribosomal RNA
Source: RNAcentral
UGCCCUAGUAACGGCGAGUGAAGCGGCAACAGCUCAAAUUUGAAAUCUGGCGCAAGCCCGAGUUGUAAUUUGUAGAGGAUGCUUCUGGGUAGCGACCGAUCUAAGUUCCUUGGAACAGGACGUCAUAGAGGGUGAGAAUCCCGUAUGUGACCGGCCCGCACCCUUUACGUAGCUCCUUCGACGAGUCGAGUUGUUUGGGAAUGCAGCUCUAAAUGGGAGGUAAAUUUCUUCUAAAGCUAAAUACCGGCCAGAGACCGAUAGCGCACAAGUAGAGUGAUCGAAAGAUGAAAAGUACUUUGGAAAGAGAGUUAAAAAGCACGUGAAAUUGUUGAAAGGGAAGCGCCUGCAACCAGACUUCGCGGCAGUGUUCCGCCGGUCUUCUGACCGGUUCAUUCUCUGUCGCGAGGCCAUCAUCGUCUGGGCCCGCCGGAUAAGACCUUAGGAAUGUAGCUCACCUUCGGGGGAGUGUUAUAGCCUAGGGUGAUGCGGCAAGGCUCGGGCGAGGUCCGCGCUUCGGCAAGGAUGAUGGCGUAAUGGUUGUCGGGGGCCCGUCUUUGAAACACGGACCAAGGGAGUCUAACAUCUUUUCCAAGGUUUCGGGGGUCCAAACCCCCUACCCCGUAAUGAAAGGUUAACCGGAGGGGGGAAACCGCAAGGGGGCACCAUUGGACCGGAUCCCGGAGUUCCCCCGGAAGGAUUUUAAUUAAAAACAUAACCUUUUGGGGACCCCCAAAAAAAGGGGGAAACUUUUCCCCCAAAAAGGGGGGAACCCCCAAGGAAAAACUUUUGGGGGGGGGCCCCCCAAGGGUUUUUUUAAGGGCCAAAUUGGGUCGCCCAAA